This 1590-nucleotide long non-coding RNA is filed under the name Olea europaea (common olive). RNAcentral's name for it is "long non-coding RNA (OEUR_LNC003409)". Lineage: Eukaryota; Viridiplantae; Streptophyta; Magnoliopsida; Lamiales; Oleaceae. The record is from RNAcentral.
GUUCAAUUUGGAGUGGAAUCUGGUUAAGGUUAAUCUGGUGCAAUUNAAACCACGAAUUUUAUUCCCACUCUUCACGACCGGUGGCUCUCGUCUCUUUGCCUCUCCAUCUCGUCGUGUUACAUUUUAUUGUAUAAGAAAUCUCCAUAAAAGGAGAAGAUGAAUUACUCCAUCAAAGGAGGAAAAUUGCACUCCAAAAUAGGAGGAAAUGCACUCCAUAAUAGGAGGAAAGGAACACUCCAAAGAAGGUGGAAAAUAAACCUCCAUGAAAGGAAGGGAUUAGAAGAAAAAAUUCCAAUGAGCUACAAUGCGUACAAGUCUUGUAUUUAUAGACAAGAAGAGUAGCUAUCUAACUACUAACAUAACUACCAACUAAUUAACAGCUGUAGGAAGAAUCUGUGGAAGCUGGAGACGGCUGGGAGAAUCCGUGUGAGAAAAAUCUGGUCCGUUCAAUUUGGAGUGGAAUCUGGUUAAGGUUAAUCUGGUGCAAUUCUAAUACACCCCCUUCAAGAUGGACUAGGAAGAUCAACUAUAGUCCAUCUUGAAGAUUAAAAUGUGAAAUAUCAACCAUGAAUAUGUAACAACAACAGCAACAGUAACCUUAAGAUUUCCAGCAACGUUGAAGAUCACAAUUGAAUUUCACUGCUGGCGUUGCUGCAUGUAGUGGACUCUGAUGAGAAUGCAGAACUUGAAUUGAAAAAAAAGUGACUCACAACACUCUCAUGGCUCUCAUUUGUAGGACAUUUCUUCAAACACUUUGUGUGCAUAUUCAAACUCGAAAUUUUCUCUGAUAGACUAUAUACGAGUUGAAUGUGUUGGAAAGGAAAACGUAGGAGAUCUGGCAAAUGUACAUGAGAACCUUCUGAAGCAACUUCAAACUUCACAUCAACACCAAUAAUUUCUGCGCCAAUUCUUCCAAACAAAUCAACACCCUGAGUUGCACAAUCUAUAACCAAAUCUGUAAUUACAGCAAGAUUUCGAAAGUAUGCUACACUCUGAUUUAAAUCCCCAGCUUGAUGAUGUUAGAGAUUUAGAAGAAAAUGAACAGAAAUUUUAUUGUUGAGGUUGCAGAACUACCAUUACACAGAUCGUCGAGUAUCGAUUGAGUGAAUUCUUUGAUUUUCUUCAGCAAAUUGAAGCCGUGAGGACUUGAAUGCUUUUUCUCUAUCUAUUAGAAUUUAUCUGAGCAUAUUAGAAUUUAUUAGAAUUGAAGAUGAUGUUGCUGCCGCCAUCAAACACUCUGAAAUUAUUGAUGACUGGAACUGAAAUUACACCUUCCAGAAUUAUGGUAAAAUAGAACAAAUCAUGGAUUUGCUCUCAUUUGAGCAGAAUACAGAAAAUCACAGAUCCGCUUUCUUUGAGCAGAACACGGGAAAAGGAGAUGUUGAAUCUCAUAAAAACACAGCAACAGGAAGCAAUUUUGCUCUGAUACCAUGUUACAUUUUAUUGAAUGAGAAAUCUCCAUAAAAGGAGAAGAUGAAUUACUCCAUUAAAGGAGGAAAAUUACACUCCAAAAUAGGAGGAAAUGCACUCCAUAACAGGAGGAAAGGAACACUCCAAAGAAGGAGGAAAAUAAACCUCCAUGAAAGGGAG